RNAcentral lists this ribosomal RNA (460 nucleotides) under uncultured bacterium. Its description in RNAcentral is "partial 16S ribosomal RNA". It matches the Rfam family "Bacterial small subunit ribosomal RNA", at positions 338 to 795 of the family's 1533-position model. The record is from RNAcentral.
CCUACGGGAGGCAGCAGUGAGGAAUAUUGGUCAAUGGACGAGAGUCUGAACCAGCCAAGUAGCGUGAAGGAUGACUGCCCUAUGGGUUGUAAACUUCUUUUAUAUGGGUAUAAAAUGUUCCACGUGUGGGAUUUUGUAUGUACCAUAUGAAUAAGGAUCGGCUAACUCCGGGCCAGCAGCCGCGGUCAUACGGAGGAGCCGAGCGUUAUCCGGAUUUAUUGGGUUUAAAGGGAGCGUAGGUGGAUUGUUAAGUUAGUUGUGAAAGUUUCCGGCUCAACCGUAAAAUUGCAGUUGAAACUGGCAGUCUUGAGUACAGUAGAGGUGGGCGGAAUGCGUGGUGUAGCGGUGAAAUGCUUAGAUAUCACGAAGAACUCCGAUUGCGAAGGCAGUUCACUGGACUGCAACUGACACUGAGGCUCGAAAGUGUGGGUAUCAAACAGGAUUAGAUACCCCAGUAGUC